RNAcentral lists this ribosomal RNA (499 nucleotides) under uncultured bacterium. RNAcentral's name for it is "partial 16S ribosomal RNA". It matches the Rfam family "Bacterial small subunit ribosomal RNA", at positions 28 to 507 of the family's 1533-position model. The record is from RNAcentral.
GAUGAACGCUGGCGGCGUGCCUAAUACAUGCAAGUCGAGCGAACAGACGAGAGUGCUUGCACUCUCUGUCGUUAGCGGUGGACGGGUGAGUAACACGUUGGUAACCUACCUAUAAGACUGGGAUAACUUCGGGAAACCGGAUCUAAUACCGGAUAAUAUUUAGCUUCGCAUGAAGCAAUAGUGAAAGACGGUUCUGCUGUCACUUAUAGAUGGACCCGCGGUGUAUUAGCUAGUUGGUGAGGUAACGGCUCACCAAGGCAACGAUACAUAGCCGACCUGAGAGGGUGAUCGGCAACACUGGGACUGAGACACGGCCCAGACUCCUACGGGAGGCAGCAGUAGGGAAUCUUCCGCAAUGGACGAAAGGCUGACGGAGCAAUGCCGCGUGAGUGAAGAAGGUUUUCGGAUCGUAAAACUCUGUUGUCAGGGAAGAACAAGAACGUUAGUAACUGAACGUACCUUGACGGUACCUGACCAGAAAGCCACGGCUAACUACGUG